AAGGCUUAGGAUCCGGUUAUGCUUCUGUCACCUAAUGGCUCAACUUGAAGUUCUGCACCAGCUCUCUGUUUCCUCAAUGACCGCCCUCCUGACUGGGGCGAGACAGAAGCUCAAUAAGAAUCCUGAGUCAACAUUUCACAGAGAGACUUGCACAUCAGCGUUUGCUGCGGUACUGCUCACAAUGGCCAAGUUCUGGAUCCAGUCUAGGUGUCCAUCAAUAAAGGAAUAAAUGAAAAAAAUGUAA
This is a non-coding RNA of Myodes glareolus (Bank vole), 244 nucleotides long. The record is from RefSeq and is a predicted model, not a curated record. NCBI's taxonomy places the organism in Eukaryota, Metazoa, Chordata, Mammalia, Rodentia, Cricetidae.